UCGUACACCUGCUGCGGGCAGAUGUAGUGCACGUGCGCGUCCACCGCGCCCGCGGUGAGGAUCAGUUUCUCGCCCGCGAUGACCUCCGUGGAGGAUCCGAUGGUCAGUGCGGGGUGCACGUGCGCCAUCACGUCGGGGUUCCCGGCUUUUCCGAUGCCCGUGAUGACUCCGUCUUUGACGCCGAUGUCUGCCUGUAGUAGUGACGAUAAGUGAGGCCACGAUGGAUACACUAAAGGUAUACCUUGUAUAUGCCAGACCAGUCUACGAUGAGGGCGUUGGUGAUCACUAGGUCGAGACACUCCGAUGCAGGGCGGUUGGUCGCCUGUCCCAUACCCUCACGA
This 341-nucleotide small RNA is filed under the name Gloeophyllum trabeum ATCC 11539. Its description in RNAcentral is "5' ureB small RNA". It matches the Rfam family "5' ureB small RNA". Lineage: Eukaryota; Fungi; Basidiomycota; Agaricomycetes; Gloeophyllales; Gloeophyllaceae. The record is from Rfam by way of RNAcentral.